UACGAAGGGGGCUAGCGUUGCUCGGAAUCACUGGGCGUAAAGCGCACGUAGGCGGACUCUUAAGUCGGUGGUGAAAUCCUGGAGCUCAACUCCAGAACUGCCUUCGAUACUGGGAGUCUCGAGUUCGGGAGAGGUGAGUGGAACUGCGAGUGUAGAGGUGAAAUUCGUAGAUAUUCGCAAGAACACCAGUGGCGAAAGGCGGCUCACUGGCCCGGUACUGACGCUGAGGUGCGAAAGCGUGGGGGAGCAAACAGG
RNAcentral lists this ribosomal RNA (255 nucleotides) under uncultured bacterium. RNAcentral's name for it is "partial 16S ribosomal RNA". It matches the Rfam family "Bacterial small subunit ribosomal RNA", at positions 524 to 776 of the family's 1533-position model. The record is from RNAcentral.